Molecule: ribosomal RNA, 253 nt
Filed under: uncultured bacterium
Lineage: Bacteria
Description: partial 16S ribosomal RNA
Rfam family: Bacterial small subunit ribosomal RNA
Source: RNAcentral
UACGUAGGGUGCGAGCGUUGUCCGGAAUUAUUGGGCGUAAAGAGCUCGUAGGCGGCUUGUCGCGUCGGAUGUGAAAGCCCGGGGCUUAACCCCGGGUCUGCAUUCGAUACGGGCAGGCUAGAGUUCGGUAGGGGAGAUCGGAAUUCCUGGUGUAGCGGUGAAAUGCGCAGAUAUCAGGAGGAACACCGAUGGCGAAGGCAGGUCUCUGGGCCACUACUGACGCUGAGAAGCGAAAGCAUGGGGAGCGAACAGG